This 525-nucleotide long non-coding RNA is filed under the name Anthonomus grandis grandis. Its description in RNAcentral is "uncharacterized LOC126733594". Lineage: Eukaryota; Metazoa; Arthropoda; Insecta; Coleoptera; Curculionidae. The record is from RNAcentral.
UGACAGUGCGUGGUCUGAUAAAUUUGUAAAUAACACCACUUAUGACCCCUAGUUCAGAGUGGUACCUAUAAGUACCGUUGGGAUAAAUAACGUUGCAUUUUUAGAUUUGAAGACAGUAUACAAAAAUGGCAAAGAAAAAGUUUUAUACAAAAAAUUUGUCUGACUCAGAAUUGCUGGAGAUUAUAGAGGAUGAAGAUUUUUAUUUAGAUGAAUAUUUUCCAUCUUUUAAUGAUCCUGACACUGAUAUGGAGGAUUUUGAUGCGGUUGAAGAAGGUCCAUUAGCAGAUGUAUUUUCCAGUGACAAUUCUGAUAAUCAAGCCGAAGAAAUUUUAGAAGAUACAAAUAAGGUGAUGAAUAGUGAACAAAAAGAAGUUACAGAACAGAUAGAGAGUGAAAUCGAUCUAGAAAAUAUAAAUGACAAUGAAACUGAAGGUGAUUAAGAGGAAAACGACAAAAAUGUCGAAUUAACAAUACAAAGAAAAUGGGAAAGAAGAUUAGCAAUAGCCCCUGAUUUGUCAGAAUAUA